GACGGACGCUGGCGGCGUGCUUAACACAUGCAAGUCGAACGGAAAGGCCCUGCUUUUGUGGGGUGCUCGAGUGGCGAACGGGUGAGUAACACGUGAGUAACCUGCCCUUGACUUUGGGAUAACUUCAGGAGACUGGGGCUAAUACCGGAUAGGAGCUCCUGCUGCAUGGUGGGGGUUGGAAAGUUUCGGCGGUUGGGGAUGGACUCGCGGCUUAUCAGCUUGUUGGUGGGGUAGUGGCUUACCAAGGCUUUGACGGGUAGCCGGCCUGAGAGGGUGACCGGCCACAUUGGGACUGAGAUACGGCCCAGACUCCUACGGGAGGCAGCAGUGGGGAAUAUUGCACAAUGGGCGGAAGCCUGAUGCAGCAACGCCGCGUGCGGGAUGACGGCCUUCGGGUUGUAAACCGCUUUCGCCUGUGACGAAGCGUGAGUGACGGUAAUGGGUAAAGAAGCACCGGCUAACUACGUG
Molecule: ribosomal RNA, 468 nt
Filed under: uncultured bacterium
Lineage: Bacteria
Description: partial 16S ribosomal RNA
Rfam family: Bacterial small subunit ribosomal RNA
Source: RNAcentral